Molecule: long non-coding RNA, 1214 nt
Organism: Tupaia belangeri chinensis (Chinese tree shrew)
Lineage: Eukaryota; Metazoa; Chordata; Mammalia; Scandentia; Tupaiidae
Exons: 6
Source: RefSeq, a predicted model, not a curated record
AAUCAAUAAAAUGAAUUAAAUAACCAUAUCUUGAAUUAGAAUCCAGUGGCAGAAAUACCAGUCCUUGUUGGGCUCUGAACUAACCUUAUUCUUCCAUGGUCCUCGGUCUUUGCCUGCACCCACCCCAAAUUCUCAUCACCUCUUCCCUCGCUGCACCACUUCCAGCAACCCCUAGCAUUUUUCCUGGUGUCUGUCUGUUCCUACAUUAGGUGACUGGAUAUUCCAGAGGAGAGUUCUUCAGAGAUGCCCACAGGCAAGAAGAGAAUCACCUCCGGCGGAAUCUACCUUGGAUUGCUGAACCAAAAAUAAUUGCAAAUCAGAAUUCUUCUUGGAACCUUACAGCCAACUCUCGUUUAUUCCCCAAUCAGUAUCUUUCCUGGAUUCUCCUUACCUCAUACUCUGCAUCUCCAGAUGUCUCUUCAGCAUCUCUACUUGGAAAUCCUAACUGGUGGAGCAACACUCUGCACCUAAAAUUUGACUUCUAUCCAGAACCUAACAGAGGAGUUGAAGUGGAUGGAUAAUACAAUAAAAAGCUCAAGAUUCCAGCUUUCCAAGAUAAGAGAUGGCAUCUGCAUUUGGAAGGCAUGAGGAACUUCCACGAAAGCUUGAGAGAUCUUCCAGUUCACCAGUAAGAAGAAGGUGUACCUAGAAAGAGGGCAUCUCAGGCAGGGGGGCACACAUGCAAAACAUGAGAUGGAGUAUAUGUGCUUGAGGAUGUGAAAAUCCCUUCUCCGUGCAUGUGACCUACACUUCAUGAAUUGGCACCAGAUGCUGAAAGACCUGAUUCAGAACUUUCAGCUAAUGCUUCAGAACCAAUACAGCAAGAAGAGCAAGAAGAGGGGGAGACUGGUCAAAGCUGACAUUAACACUUGGAGAGACAUCAAGGCCUUGUCCAACGAUGCCCAAACAACGCUGACAGAGAUGAACAAAAAACUGAUGCUUGAAAAAUCUAUUUUUUGCCAUGAGUGCAAAACUUACUGUAAACUCUAGGAUACUUUGUUACAUCCUAGUAUACCUGUUCCUGUCCCUGCCAUCAUUUACUGCCUUAAACAAUUAUUCUUUAGAACUAUAUUUCUGUUGUUAUCUUGGAUUAUGCAAAGAUUUCUCUGAUAUGAUACUAUUAGCAUAAUUCAUAAGAGAAAAAUGGAUCAAUUAUACUACAACAGAAUCUAAAGUUUCUGUUUCUUAAAAGAAAUUAUUAUGAAAAUACAAUA